UACGAAGGGGGCUAGCGUUGCUCGGAAUUACUGGGCGUAAAGCGCACGUAGGCGGCUUUCUAAGUCGGGGGUGAAAUCCUGGAGCUCAACUCCAGAACUGCCUUCGAUACUGGCGAUCUUGAGUCCGGGAGAGGUGAGUGGAAUUCCCAGUGUAGCGGUGAAAUGCGUAGAUAUUGGGAGGAACACCAGUGGCGAAGGCGGCUCACUGGACCGGUACUGACGCUGAUGCGCGAAAGCGUGGGGAGCAAACGGG
RNAcentral lists this ribosomal RNA (253 nucleotides) under uncultured bacterium. RNAcentral's name for it is "partial 16S ribosomal RNA". It matches the Rfam family "Bacterial small subunit ribosomal RNA", at positions 524 to 776 of the family's 1533-position model. The record is from RNAcentral.